RNA transcript from Anolis sagrei ordinatus, 4208 nucleotides. It is a transcript of the gene named ubiquitin specific peptidase 36, with no coding region annotated. The record is from RefSeq and is a predicted model, not a curated record. NCBI's taxonomy places the organism in Eukaryota, Metazoa, Chordata, Lepidosauria, Squamata, Anolidae.
CGAGCUGGGCGGGGCGCUGCUGUCCGCCCGCCUCCUUGGGCCUAGCGGAGCCCGCGCUGCACCGCUUCUUCCUCUCCCUCCGGAUCCCGGGCCAGGGAGGCCGGCCACGUGGGCGCGCGCCAGGAGGGAGCGGCCCUUUACGACCCCCGCCGGGCAAGAAUCCUUUGCUGGCUGGGCAACGUGUCCUGCAACAGAGUGAUGCACCAUGCCUAUAGUGGACAAACUGAAAGAAGCCCUAAAGCCUGGGCGAAAGGACUCUGCUGAUGAUGUGGAGCUGGGCAAGCUGUUGGCAGCUUCGGCCAAGAAGAUUUUGCUGCAAAGGAUUGAGUUUGAACCAGCUUCGAAAAGCUUCUCCUACCAGCUAGAGAGCCUGAAAAGCAAGUACAUUCUACUGAACCCAAAGACAGAAAACCCCAGUCGGCACAAGGGCUCCGAAGAGGGAUCCAACCGAAAGCAAGGCAUUGAGCAUGUCCUGGGAGGAGAUGGAGUGCCAGCCCCACAGAAAGUCCUCUUCCCUGUGGAGCGUCUCUCCCUGAAAUGGGAGCGGGUAUAUCGUGUCGGAGCUGGUCUCCACAACCUGGGCAAUACUUGUUUUCUGAAUUCCACUUUGCAGUGUCUGACAUACACUCCCCCUCUCGCCAAUUAUCUGCUUUCCAAGGAGCACAGUCGCAGCUGCCACCAGGGAGGCUUUUGCAUGAUGUGUAUUAUGCAGAAUCACAUGAUACAGGCAUUUGCCAACAGCAGCAAUGCCAUCAAGCCAGUGUCCUUCAUCAGGGAUCUUAAAAAGAUUGCUCGUCAUUUCCGCUUUGGCAGCCAGGAAGAUGCUCACGAGUUCUUGCGCUACACCAUUGAUGCCAUGCAGAAGGCCUGCCUCAAUGGCUAUACCAAGCUGGAUCGCCAGACCCAGGCUACCACAUUGGUUCAUCAGAUCUUCGGUGGCUACCUCCGAUCUCGUGUGAAGUGCUCCAUGUGCAAAAGCGUUUCAGACACCUAUGACCCCUUCCUGGACGUGGCUUUGGAGAUCAGGCAGGCUGCCAACAUUGUUCGGGCACUAGAAUUAUUUGUAAAGGCAGAUGUGCUGAGUGGGGAGAACGCCUACAUGUGUGCCAAGUGCAAGAAGAAAGUGCCAGCCAGCAAACGCUUUACUAUCCAUCGAGCAUCCAAUGUCCUCACAAUCUCUCUCAAGCGCUUUGCCAACUUCAGUGGAGGCAAGAUUACCAAGGAUGUAGGCUACCCUGAAUUCCUGAACAUCCGUCCUUACAUGUCACAGAGCAGCGGUGACCCUGUCAUGUAUGGUCUCUAUGCUGUGCUUGUACAUUCAGGUUACAGCUGCCAUGCAGGGCAUUACUACUGCUAUGUCAAGGCUAGUAAUGGGCAGUGGUACCAGAUGAAUGACUCCCUAGUACAUUCAAGCAACAUCAAAGUUGUUCUCAACCAACAGGCUUAUGUGCUCUUCUAUCUAAGGAUCCCAAGUACAAGGAAGAAUCCUGAAGGGCCUAUCUCCAAAAGCUCUGUGUCCAACCGAGCAAGUAUAGUCUCUGACCAUAUGAAGAAAAGCAUGACCAAUGGUUCCUUGUCUUCACCACUGAUGAGUAAAAAACAAGAUGCAGCUCAGGUCAAGAAGGUGUCUUCAGAUACCGAGGAAUCUGGCGUCCCUAUUUCCCGCAGUUCUUUUACUACUCACUCCAAACAGCAGAAUGGGACAUUUUCUUCUCCUUCUCAUUCUCCUCUUCCCAAGUUUAUACCUACCAUUGGAUUCUCAUCUCCUAAACUCCCCAGCAAGCCAGCCUUUUUGGAUGACUUAAGCAAGAGAUCCAAGAAGCAGUCUGUUCUGUCCCUCAAAACAUCUCAGGACUUUAAUGAGAAUGGCAGUGCCAGGGUCGAUACGGGCAAGCAGAAUUCUUGGGGCGACAAGGGGUUGGCAUCAUCAUCUUCACAUCUGGCAGGUCCUCCUAGAGGGGAUCCUGAGGCCAAAAUGCGCGAUGGAGGCACAGAGCUACCCAGUAAGGACUCCUCGUCUUUGACCUCUUCUUUGUCGCCAUCGCCAUCCUCUUCUAGCAGUUCCUCUUCAUCCAGCCCUGCACAUAACUCCCUCAAGGGACUUCCACAGACAACAAUAGGCAUCAAUGGCUACUGCUCUUCUCAGGAAACGGACUGUGCCUCUGGGAAACAUGGUUCUGAGGACUCCAAGUUUGCCAAGCUAAAGUCGCCCUUGUUGGCUAAUGUGAACAAUCUGGAGCUGGGAAGUACUAUGUCACCUCCACCUGCAAAGAAAUUGGCACUUUCUGCCAGGAAGGGCAGCAACACACUGCAGAAAGUGAGCGGCAGUGAGCGUCGAGCGCCGCCCCACUCCCCACCAGCUGCCACAAAUACCAUCCACCCUGUUCGUGCCGCUGCGCUUGGCUGUCCCAGGGUGCUCUCACCUACUUCCAAAUCUUCAGCACCUCUGCAACUACCUGACAGCACCUUUGUCGACGUCCCACCCUCAUCCAGCUUCAAACCACGCUGCCUCUCUGCUGCUGCCCCUUCGUCACCACCUGCUGUGCCCACACAGGCCCUGAGCCACGCCCACCCAGAUAAGGGACCUUUCCUUAACAGCUCAAGGAAGAUGAAAAGGAAGCAUAGUACCCCAGGGGAAGAACAAGGUACUCAUUGCGGCCCAAAUGUGACUAACUUCAGUGCAGAGGGUACCCAGCUGCUCAGUCCUCCCAGGAAGAAGAGGCAGCUGAAGGAAAAUGGCAGUGUUUUGUCCUCUUCUGUAAGGAAGAGUGACGUGGCAGCAGCCAAGAAGGAAAAAGAGGGGGAAACAUAUUUGGACGCCAGGUCACCAGAUUCUGUUCGGAAGAAGAAGAAGAAAAGGCUUCAUCAGAAGGAUGAAGACUGCACACUACUACUGUCCACUGUGAACAGCUGCCCUUCACAGUGUGAGGGAGAAAUAUCGGGAGAGGAGCCCUGUGACAUGAAGAAGAAAAAGAAGAAGAAAAAGAAGAAGAACCAGAACUUGUCAACAGGCUCAGACAAAGGCAGCUAUGCUGAAGAGAGUGAGCAUCGGAAGCACAAGAAGAGGGAGAGCCAGGGGGAUCCGGUGCCUGUGGUGAGCAGCCCCCAAGAAAAACGACACAGGAAUGGCAUCUCAGCAAGACUUAGCCCUUCAGUAGCCUUGGCUUGUAGCAGCCAGCUUAGACAUGAGGACAACUGCUCCUUCAACUUCCAGAGUCCAAAGAAGGAAGUGAUUCAGCACAAGCAUGGGCAGCCUGAUGUACUCCAGGAGCUGCUGAAGGAUUCCUUGGAUAAGGCGUAUGGAAAGCGAGUGCUGACGUGGGAAGGUGAAGUGUCUGCUGUCAGCCAGGAUGCCAUGCAAGAUACUGCAUGGUCCAGGAGCCAGACAGUUAUGGACGAAUGGGAUGAAGAGUUUGACAGUGGGAAGGUAAAGAAAAUUAAGAAGCUCAAACGUGAGCGGAGAAAAAACUUCAAUGCCUUCCAGAAAUUGCAAAGCCGGCGUAACUUCUGGGCUGAGACACAUCCAGCUAAAUUGGCUAGCCUGAGCUAUCGACUCUGAGAUGGUGAGGAGUUACUAGAGGAUAAUCACAUCCAGAGAAGGAGUGGGAAUUGCAACAUUGUGUUCUGGGAGCAGGCAGAUGGAUAAGGACUGCUUUAGAAUAGGGAUCUCAACCCCACAGAUGAGUCCGUGCCUGCAGCCAUGCUGUGGCAGUUCCUGUAUCUUGGCGUUGCUACUGACCAGCACUGAAAUGCCAAUUGUUGCAGGCUACCAACUAUUUAUGGAAUUUGCAGGGAAAGUCCUCCUCUUGACCCAAAUGGGACACUGCCAUUUCAGAGGGCUCUUGGUGGAUCUUCUGUGCAUCUUCUAAGGGAAAGCAGGAGCACUGCAAGAAACGAAACCCAUGCCUGGGGAAGGCACCAUCCCAGCAAGGCAGUGGAGGCACUUGGUAUAGAGCAAGAGUGGGUCCAGGAGUGAAUAGCCUCCUGGGAUGAAAGUCACCUUGACCUCCACAAGGCCUUCACCUCCACACGAGACCUAGGCCUGAUGAGCUACGCUGCCCUUCCAGAAGAUGAAGAAAGCCAAGAUCUGUGUCUUAACUUCUGAGAGGUGGACACUGUAUUGCAUGAAGUGACAUAUGCCCCUUUCUCUGCUGUCCAGAUAUGUCAUAAUAACAGGGUAGCUUUUGUGGCUUUUCUUCAGCCACAUG